This 831-nucleotide ribosomal RNA is filed under the name uncultured SAR86 cluster bacterium. RNAcentral describes it as "SSU rRNA". It matches the Rfam family "Bacterial small subunit ribosomal RNA", at positions 47 to 875 of the family's 1533-position model. Lineage: Bacteria; Pseudomonadati; Pseudomonadota; Gammaproteobacteria. The record is from RNAcentral.
CNUNAUACAUGCAAGUCGAACGAGAAAGUUCCUUCGGGAGCGAGUAAAGUGGCGGACGGGUGAGUAACGCGUAGGAAUCUACCUUUCAGUGGGGGAUAGCUCGGGGAAACUCGAAUUAAUACCGCAUAUACCCUUCGGGGGAAAGGGGGCCUCUCCUUGGAAGCUCUCGCUGUUAGAUGAGCCUGCGUGAGAUUAGCUUGUUGGUAAGGUAAUGGCUUACCAAGGCUACGAUCUCUAGCUGGUCUGAGAGGACGAUCAGCCACACUGGGACUGAGACACGGCCCAGACUCCUACGGGAGGCAGCAGUAGGGAAUAUUGGACAAUGGGGGCAACCCUGAUCCAGGCAUGCCGCGUGUGUGAAGAAGGCCUUAGGGUUGUAAAGCACUUUAAGUGAGGAAGAAAAGAUUUAAAUUAAUACUUUAAGUCCCUGACAUUACUCACAGAAUAAGGACCGGCUAACUCCGUGCCAGCAGCCGCGGUAAUACGGAGGGUCCAAGCGUUAAUCGGAAUUACUGGGCGUAAAGCGCGCGUAGAUGGUUUAUUCAGUUGGGUGUGAAAUCCCUGGGCUCAACCUAGGAACUGCAUUCAAAACUUAUAAACUAGAGUACGAAAGAGGAGAGUAGAAUUCAUGGUGUAGCGGUGAAAUGCGUAGAGAUCAUGAGGAAUACCAGUGGCGAAGGCGACUCUCUGGUUCGAGACUGACAUUGAGGUGCGAAAGCGUGGGUAGCAAACAGGAUUAGAUACCCUGGUAGUCCACGCCGUAAACGAUGAGAACUAGCCGUUGGAUCUUAAGAUUCAGUGGCGCAGCUNACGCAUUAAGUUCUCCGCCUG